Molecule: unclassified non-coding RNA, 244 nt
Filed under: Hevea brasiliensis (rubber tree)
Lineage: Eukaryota; Viridiplantae; Streptophyta; Magnoliopsida; Malpighiales; Euphorbiaceae
Source: RNAcentral
UCACAAAGGAUUUGGUCAACAUUUGGUAUAUAUUUGCUUUGUCCUAACGUGUAGCCUUAGAAUAUGUCUCUUUAUGUGCUUGUCUGGACGUCUGUUGUCUUCUUGUGUUCAUGAGAAACUUCAUACGUAUGUGGAAUCUUCUCUUAAAAUUGUAGUCUCACAUGGAAAAUUUGUGGCAUUUUCCUCUGCGAGAUAAGGAUUUCUGCAUCUUCUUAUCUUCUGUCUGCCUAGUUGAUGUUAUCCG